Ribosomal RNA from Danio rerio (zebrafish), 117 nucleotides. The record is from Ensembl. NCBI's taxonomy places the organism in Eukaryota, Metazoa, Chordata, Actinopteri, Cypriniformes, Danionidae.
GACCACAGCCAGAUCACUCUGCAGUCCAAGACUGGUUACUCACUGAAGCUAAGCAGAAAUGAGCCUGGUCAGUAUCUGGAUGGGAGACCGCAUGGGAAAACUAGGUUGCUGUUGGAA